GAUGAAGAACGUAGUGAAAUGCGAUAAGUAAUGUGAAUUGCAGAAUUCAGUGAAUCAUCGAAUCUUUGAACGCACCUUGCACCCUUUGGACUGCUCCAAAGGGUAUGCUCGUUUGAGUGUCAUUGUACUCUCACACUCUCUGAUCCUUUGGAUUUGGGGAGCGGUGGACUUGGGUGCUUGCUGCUUCCUUGUGGCUCACCUGAAAUGCAUCAGUGCAUCUCUCGAUUGGACAUAGCACGGCGUGAUAAGUGUCUUCGCCGGCACCUCAUAUGAGGGUGGCCGAUCGGGAGCUCUGUGCUUUCAAACCGUCUUCGGACAACGCUGACAACUUGACCUCAAAUCGAGUAGGACUACCCGCUGAACUUAAGCAUAUCAAUAAGCGGAGGA
Molecule: unclassified non-coding RNA, 387 nt
Filed under: soil metagenome
Description: partial contains 5.8S ribosomal RNA, internal transcribed spacer 2, and large subunit ribosomal RNA
Rfam family: 5.8S ribosomal RNA (bases 1-122)
Source: RNAcentral